AAGAACUGCUGGAGACAAUCUUUCUGGACUCCGCGCUGACAGAGGGAGUGCUUGCACAGGGUUGGCCUGGUGCAGUUUGCAUCAUGGGAUGCUGCUACAUGUGGAAGCUUUGAGCCAGAAGAAAAGAUGUUUGGUUUUCACAAGCCAAAGAUGUACCGAAGUACAGAGGACUGCUGUAGAUGCAGAGCCAAGCCCUCCAGCUCGUGGUUCACGGACAGUAAACGUUACAAAAAGGAUUUCCAGAGCUGUUUUGGGUUACAUGAGACUCGCGCGGGAGACAUCUGCAACACCUGUAUGCUGCUUGUGAAAGGAUGGAAGGAGCUGCCGGCAGGAUCCAAACAACAAACAAACAAACAAACAAACAAAACUGAAAUCAUGUGGUAGAUGCAAGAGCAGGCCCCAGUCUAAAGACAACAUCAAAAUCAAAGAAAGUGAAAACUCUAUCUGGAAAUAGGAUAAAAGGCAACCAGAUCAGUAAACUGCAGAAGGAAUUUAAACUCCACAAUUCUGAUGCUCACGGCACCUCAAAGGCCUCUCCAGCCGAGUCUCCAUGCUACAGUAACCAGUAGAACUCCGCUUUUUUUUCCUUCUUAGAUCUUACCUACUGGAAAAGACAGAAAAUAUGUUGUGGGAUCAUCUACAAGGGCCGUUUUGGGGACGUCCUCAUCGACAUUCAUCUCUUCAAGCCUUGCUGCAGCAGUAAGAAAGCAGCUGCCUCUGGAUACGUGCUAUUCUGCCAAAAGACAUUUUCUAGAAUACUUUUUGAUGGGUUACCCUCCUUACCCUUCAUCCAACAAACUCUGAAGCCAGCUUACUGCAAGAAAAAGAAGUAUACAUAA
This is a non-coding RNA of Mus caroli (Ryukyu mouse), 839 nucleotides long. The record is from RefSeq and is a predicted model, not a curated record. Lineage: Eukaryota; Metazoa; Chordata; Mammalia; Rodentia; Muridae.